GAUGAACGCUAGCGACAGGCUUAACACAUGCAAGUCGGGGGGCAGCACAGGUAGCAAUACCGGGUGGCGACCGGCGCACGGGUGAGUAACGCGUAUGCAACUUACCCAUCAGAGGGGGAUAACCCGGCGAAAGUCGGACUAAUACCGCAUGAAGCAGGGGUCCCGCAUGGGGAUAUUUGCUAAAGAUUCAUCGCUGAUAGAUAGGCAUGCGUUCCAUUAGGCAGUUGGCGGGGUAACGGCCCACCAAACCGACGAUGGAUAGGGGUUCUGAGAGGAAGGUCCCCCACAUUGGUACUGAGACACGGACCAAACUCCUACGGGAGGCAGCAGUGAGGAAUAUUGGUCAAUGGCCGAGAGGCUGAACCAGCCAAGUCGCGUGAGGGAUGAAGGUUCUAUGGAUCGUAAACCUCUUUUAUAAGGGAAUAAAGUGCGGGACGUGUCCCGUUUUGUAUGUACCUUAUGAAUAAGGAUCGGCUAACUCCGUG
Molecule: ribosomal RNA, 485 nt
Filed under: uncultured bacterium
Lineage: Bacteria
Description: partial 16S ribosomal RNA
Rfam family: Bacterial small subunit ribosomal RNA
Source: RNAcentral